Molecule: ribosomal RNA, 496 nt
Filed under: uncultured bacterium
Lineage: Bacteria
Description: bacterial SSU rRNA
Rfam family: Bacterial small subunit ribosomal RNA
Source: RNAcentral
AUGCAAGUCGAACGAGAAAGGUUUCUUCGGAGACCGAGUAAAGUGGCGCACGGGUGAGUAACGCGUAGAUAACCUAUCUUCAUGUUCGGGAUACUCCACCGAAAGGUGGCCCAAUACCGGAUAUGCUUGAAUUUCAUAAGUUAUGCAAGCAAAGGUGGCCUCUAUUUAUAAGCUAUCGCAUGAAGCGGGGUCUGCGUACCAUUAGCUAGUUGGUGGGGUAAUGGCCUACCAAGGCUACGAUGGUUAGCGGGUCUGAGAGGAUGAUCCGUCACACUGGCACUGGAACACGGGCCAGACUCCUACGGGAGGCAGCAGUGAGGAAUAUUGCGCAAUGGGGGAAACCCUGACGCAGCGACGCCGCGUGAGUGAGGAAGGCCUUCGGGUCGUAAAACUCUGUCAGAAGGGAAGAAAUGCAAGACUGUUAAUACCUAUUUUGUUUGACGGUACCUUCAAAGGAAGCACCGGCUAACUCCGUGCCAGCAGCCGCGGUAAUACG